RNAcentral lists this ribosomal RNA (491 nucleotides) under uncultured Glomus. RNAcentral describes it as "SSU rRNA". It matches the Rfam family "Eukaryotic small subunit ribosomal RNA", at positions 569 to 1066 of the family's 1831-position model. The record is from RNAcentral. Lineage: Eukaryota; Fungi; Glomeromycota; Glomeromycetes; Glomerales; Glomeraceae.
AGCAGCCGCGGUAAUUCCAGCUCCAAUAGCGUAUAUUAAAGUUGCUGCAGUUAAAAAGCUCGUAGUUGAAUUUCGGGACCAUCAUGUCGGUCGUGCCUCGGUACGUACUGGCAUUGUUGGUUUCUACCUUCUGACGAACCAUGAUGUCAUUUAUUUGGUGUCGUGGGAAAUCAGGACUGUUACUUUGAAAAAUUAGAGUGUUUAAAGCAGGCUCACGCUUGAAUACAUUAGCAUGGAAUAAUGAAAUAGGACGUUUGAUUCUAUUUUGUUGGUUUCUAGGAUCGACGUAAUGAUUAAUAGGGAUAGUUGGGGGCAUUAGUAUUCAAUUGUCAGAGGUGAAAUUCUUGGAUUUAUUGAAGACUAACUACUGCGAAAGCAUUUGCCAAGGAUGUUUUCAUUAAUCAAGAACGAAAGUUAGGGGAUCGAAGACGAUCAGAUACCGUCGUAGUCUUAACCAUAAACUAUGCCGACUAGGGAUCGGAUGAUGUUAA